AGUCACAGUCACAGGCAGGGCUGGGGCUCAAUUUGUCAUCCUCCCGGGCUGGACCCCAAGAACAGAAAGAGUGGGUGGUCAGCUACAUGGUGUGACUUGAGGGGCUUCAAAAGUCCUGCUGAACCCCAAACUAUCUCCCCGACUGCCCUGAGUUUCUGUCUGAAGUUUCCAUCAUUUGAGUCAUUUCUUUGUGCUAAGAAUUUGCUUCCAGAAGUUGCCUGCUAAAAUGUACACGCUGCCUGGGCGCGGUGUGUGUCUUUAUGUGAGUGGGUGUUGCGCUCCUCCCUGCGUGUGGACUCACUGGAGAAUGUUGUGGUCAGGGGCUUUCUUCACGCUAUGGGGUGCUGUUCCACCACAGCUGCUGCAGUCGUGGGUCACACCUCUGCAAUUCCCUGUGGCCCCGCUGAAGUGAUGUAGAAGGACCAUAUGGCCAUCCCAGAAAAGCUUACCAUGUCCACUUUCUUUUUCUUUUUUUUUUUUUUGAUACGGAGUCUUGCUCUGUCGCCCAGGCUGGAGUGCAGUGGCGCGAUCUCAGCUCACUGCAACCUCGGCCUCCCUGGUUCAAGCGAUUCGCCUGCCUCAGCCUCCUGAGUAGCUGAGAUCACAGGUGCCCGUCACCAUGCCUGGCUAAUUUUUGUAUUUUUAGUAGAGACGGGCUUU
This 660-nucleotide long non-coding RNA is filed under the name Homo sapiens (human). Its description in RNAcentral is "HSALNT0067421". The record is from RNAcentral. Lineage: Eukaryota; Metazoa; Chordata; Mammalia; Primates; Hominidae.